RNAcentral lists this ribosomal RNA (410 nucleotides) under uncultured prokaryote. RNAcentral's name for it is "partial 16S ribosomal RNA". The record is from RNAcentral.
CCCUAUGGGGUGACACUUGCUGGUCAUUUGGUGUCCACCCUUUAGGGUGUCUGAGGCGCCGCGACGUCCUAAAGGGUGGACACCAAACCGGUCUGGAUCGCCAAGAUGAGAAUGGCUGGGCGCAGCCGGUCCUGUCUUUACAGGCAGGUACGGGUUGUGCACGUUUGGAGUGGCAAUCCGAACCCUAUGCGCUCCAAGAUGAAAGCCCUCUGCACCUUCCUGCUCGCCGUAUCACUCGUCACCGUGGGCCAGGCAGCCGGCCGCGCCGCCAAACUGGGGAAGGGAUUCGCCCGUCCGCCGGCCUCGGCCCGUCCGUGGGUUUACUGGUUCUGGUUGAAUGGGAAUGUGACGAGCAACGGGAUCACCGCGGACCUGGAAGCCAUGCAGCGGGUGGGAAUUGGCGGGGGAGC